RNAcentral lists this ribosomal RNA (643 nucleotides) under uncultured bacterium. Its description in RNAcentral is "bacterial SSU rRNA". It matches the Rfam family "Bacterial small subunit ribosomal RNA", at positions 232 to 885 of the family's 1533-position model. The record is from RNAcentral.
CGCGGCCUAUCAGCUUGUUGGUGAGGUAGUGGCUCACCAAGGCGACGACGGGUAGCCGGCCUGAGAGGGCGACCGGCCACACUGGGACUGAGACACGGCCCAGACUCCUACGGGAGGCAGCAGUGGGGAAUAUUGCACAAUGGGCGAAAGCCUGAUGCAGCGACGCCGCGUGAGGGAUGACGGCCUUCGGGUUGUAAACCUCUUUCAGCAGGGAAGAAGCGAAAGUGACGGUACCUGCAGAAGAAGCGCCGGCUAACUACGUGCCAGCAGCCGCGGUAAUACGUAGGGCGCAAGCGUUGUCCGGAAUUAUUGGGCGUAAAGAGCUCGUAGGCGGCUUGUCACGUCGGGUGUGAAAGCCCGGGGCUUAACCCCGGGUCUGCAUUCGAUACGGGCUAGCUAGAGUGUGGUAGGGGAGAUCGGAAUUCCUGGUGUAGCGGUGAAAUGCGCAGAUAUCAGGAGGAACACCGGUGGCGAAGGCGGAUCUCUGGGCCAUUACUGACGCUGAGGAGCGAAAGCGUGGGGAGCGAACAGGAUUAGAUACCCUGGUAGUCCACGCCGUAAACGGUGGGAACUAGGUGUUGGCGACAUUCCACGUCGUCGGUGCCGCAGCUAACGCAUUAAGUUCCCCGCCUGGGGAGUACGG